Molecule: non-coding RNA, 76 nt
Organism: Armigeres subalbatus
Lineage: Eukaryota; Metazoa; Arthropoda; Insecta; Diptera; Culicidae
Source: the annotation of a RefSeq genome assembly
UCCUUCGUAGCUUAGUUGAUUAAAAAGCACCAGUCUACCGUACUGAUGGCCGUGGGUUCGAGUCCCAUCGGAGGAA